AUUUAUUUUCACAGAAUUAGAAAUGUCAUUCAACUUUAACAUGUUUAUAUACCGUCAUACUUAUAUUUGCUUAUGUUGCUUAUAUUUGCAUGACUUUUGAUCUGUAAAGCUUCAAUUAACGUUUCCAAAUCAGUGUUAUUUUUGAAGUGUUUGUUAUCCAGUAUUCACUGCGCUAAUCAUUGUCGAGCUUUUAGUCGGAGAGUUUGAAAUAAUCUGUGAGCUCAAACUUUUUAUGAAGUUCUUUAUACUCACUUCCAGCUGCAAAAUACAACUUUCCUCUCAACUGAUACACAUGCUGAGCGAAAUAAGGCUUAAACAUGUUUUACACGGUGAUUUUCCCUCAGCAGGCACGUGGAGAUGGGCGUUGAUGGAACAAACAGACGCGAAAGUCCACAUCCAAACGUCCCUCGUUCCAAAUCGCUGUUUUAUCGUUCCGCGUACAAACUUAAUUUACAUUCCGAAAUUCCAGUCGGUGAUUUUGACACUUCUCAAGUUGCUUUCCCUCUUUACAUGUGUAAAUAAAAUGGUGGAAAGCAGAGCGUCCAGUGCGUAACCGAGUGUAAUCAAAGAAGCGGCGCGACGCGCGAAGACGCACAACACAGAUGCGAUCAAAUGAGUUCACGGAGUUUACCGUGAGAUUCGGCUCUCUCUUUGUCCCACAGCACAGUAAUCCUUCACCAGGACGUCCUGAAGUUUACUGGAACGCCGAAGGAACUGGAUCAGAGAUUGCAGACGGAUCUCAAAGUCUUAAAAACACUGAACAGAAGUACUGCAAGUCUCUGAAAUGACCUCCUGAUGUUUUUUAAGGUCACGUCCCGCGCCAGCUUUGGAUGAAGAGUGGCCCAAACAGAAGGACACAGCUUCAGUCAGACUCACUUUACAAGGCUGUCAAAGACGCAAGCACCAGCUGCGAGAGUAGACCUGAAACGAGCACGUGGAGCUGGCUCCACACGCAUCUUCACCGGAAACGGUCUAAAUGGCUUCAGAUAUAAGACAGUCGACAUCUACGAGAUGGUGGCAGCCGCCAUUUUGUGAUGUGCUUGGCCUCAGAGAGGUGAAGUAUAUUUCCGUGAGUGUUUGCACAGCAACAUAUUAAUAUUAGCCUUAUGUUUUCAACAAUCCUCCUGUUCUGAAUGUGGUAUCUGGGUACGUUUAGCACGUAGCAUCUUUCGCAUAUUUUCUCGUGCACUCCGCAGUGCAAUAAUUGUGAACGAAUGCACAGCUAUUGCAAUCGUACCACUUUUGGAUUUAUGAUUCAUCUGAAAUAUGCUGUUCUGUUUUGUCUCAAAUAGGAGCCGUGUUUAAACAUAAAGGCAGUGUUAAAGUUCAGGUCAUUAAUAGUUGGCCAGUAACCUGUAAGUAAAUGCUUGUCCUUGGUCGAACACGAUGGCACUGCUGCAGCACCACAAACAAAAAAAACUAAUAAACGGAGAGACGUUCCAGCGAAAUAACAAAAGAUAAAGCUGUUGCUGUGCUGCUCGCUCAGUCUUUGGGGAUGCAGUGGGCUAUCAGAAGUUUGAAAUUAAAUAUAAGCAUGUACGGUUUUAUCUGCGAGGGCACCGAUUGGUCCGAAGCCGUGGCGAGAUGUGACGUGGGAGGAAAACGGCGGGGUCCCUACCUAACACCGUUGAUGAUGUCCAACAGGCCGCACGAUCCACGCAAGCUUGCUUUUUCACUCCGAAUGCACUAACUUUGCAGUUCUGCUUGGCAGUGUGUUAGUGUGUGAGGACAGACGUGAGCCAGUGGCGAAGGGGACGGGUGCGCCCUCGUGCAUCGGCCAUGUUAGAUCAGCCCGAUCGCAGCAUUCACACUUUUAGACAUUGAAAGACGCUGGUUAGGAAAGCAGCCCCACCUUCUGAAAUGUCACAAGUCUUCCCACAAUCCCCAGAGAGACUGCAAAGAGAAGUGUUGAGUAAGUCCGCAAGAGCUGGAAAGAGAUUUUCGCAGUUCGCAGGCUUUCUCUCUUUCUGCGCUCUCAUUAGUUGAGCCGCCGAGAGGAAGCGUGAGGGGGAGAGAGAGAAAGAAAGAAAGAAAGAGAGAGAAUGAGCGUGUGCUCUGCAUUCGGAGGGAAAAAAAGUUUGUACAGUGAGUCCGGCCUCGAGGGGUUUCUGGAGCGAGAGCCAGAGCAAACACAACCUUUUUUGCUGUGUCGUUUUCCUUUUCAUUUAUUACAAUAGCGCCUGCCAUAGCGUUGAACACUGGGAAGAAAUGGAGGGAAACGAUAUCGCCACACAUCCCUUGCAGCACGGUGAGGGUGUGUUUGAGGGAACGUCUAAUGUUUUUUGUCGUUUUCUUUCCCAGCCUCGUUCUGUCACCGCAAGGGAGGGAUUCAAGGGAACGGGGCAGAUGGACGGAUGAACGAAGGGUAGAGAGAUAGAGAGAGAGAGAAAGAGAGAGAGAGAAAGGGCACGUGAGGAGAGCAGUAUCGUGGGGGUGGAGCCUGUCCAUUUUCCUCCUUUCUCAUUGGCUGGAAGGUCAGAGCUGUUCCUCAAAUCCAGUGCGGAGACUCUGAUUGGUUGGAUGUGGGUGUUUCUUUAAGUACAGGCACUUUUAUGAACCAGGAGUUGAUUUAUAUUAACCAACAGACUUUAAUUUUUGCUUUUAAGAAAUGCUUUCAUUUAGGUUUUCUUUCAAAUAUUUGUCCUGACCCUAGUCUGAAACUAUGAAAAUGCAUUGUAAAAAUAUUGAUUGCAUUUUUAAAACUAUGGUGUAAACAAAAAGUUACCAUUUCAAUAUUUAUAAUGUGAAAAUGAUUUAUAAAUUUUUUUGUGCAUAAAUUACAACCGUCUGUUAUGAGUUUCAGUGUAAUUUCCACUAUGACAAACCGUUUCGCCCCUAAUAAGUUUAGUCAGUGAAGACCUCGAGAUGAUAUAUGACACUUGAUGCAUUAAGAAGUCAAAGUUAAAUUAAGGUAAUUACUGGACAUGUAUAGUGGACAAUUUAAAUGAACUAGUAAGAUUCGGAAAAUGUCUGUUUUAGGAAACUCUAUUUUCAAAGUCGAGUGAACUUGAUGGUUUAAAGUAACAUUAUACUUUAUUUGAGGAAGACACCGAAGUUUAAGUUGUUAGUGAACAAAAAUCCUCCUUUUUUCACGUUCAUGUGCAGAAUUCAAAAUUAGCUUGUUGAGUCCGGACAUACAUGUGAACAAUGCCAUUUUGGCAUCAAAUACUUGGACACGCCAUUUCAUUUUUUGGGGUUAUAUGUGGUGUUAUCAGUCCUUUUUGGAUUGUUCGGAGAAGUCUACUUUGUGUUCGAGAAGAAAUAAACCUGCAGCAUUCAGGGUUUCGAAAUGUUAAAGUGUACUUUUAAAGCAAACCUUUAAAGCAACCAAAUGAAUGUUUGAUGGAAAGAAGAACUAACAAUAAAUCUACUGUUUACGUUCAGAAACUGUGUGGAAUUCGAAGUUUCAAAUACUUUUUCUGCAGAAAGUUGCGUUCUUCUGCUGUGUUUCCACUCCUUUUUCUUUCUUUCUGGUUGGAUUAUCUGUGUGUGUGUGUGUGUGUGUGUGUGUGUGUGUGUGUGUGUGUGUGUGAGAGAGAGAGAGAGAGAGAAAAACACACUGAGUCUGCGCGCUGGGGGAGGAGUAUCUAUGUCACACUCUCUCUCUCUCUCUGUCUUUCUCCUCCCGCUCCGUACUUGCAGUUUUUCCGCCCUCCCACUUCUCUCUCUCUCUUUUUCUCUCUCUUUCAAGUGCAAGGCCAUGUGGGACGUCUGAUGAGGAGUUUCACCCCUCUACGUCUCCAGUUUCAUAUCUCUCUUUCCCUCUCCACCGUUCUUUCGCUUUCCGUACGGGUUCCUCGAGCUCCGCUGUUUUUGCAAGGUGGAGACCCACUGGAGACUAGUUUAGAGAGUGUAAGGGGGAUAAAGGGGAAAGAAAAAACCAAGCUUCUUCUUUUUUUUUUUUUACAGUGAGGGCCUCCUGACUAGAGCGCGAAAGAGGCUCCCCCACAAGCCUGCCAACACGCUCCCAGAUUUCCAGUAUGUUUCUGUGCUUUUUCAUGCACCCGAUUGCGGAAUUUUAGCAAGGUUUGCAACUGCAUUCGGUUUGCGAAGUGCCUAUUUUGACAUUUUCUUUUUCAAUUUCAGUGAGCGGCCGAGUCCACCUUGACCCGCAGCCCACGCCGGUGCAGGGCCAGGCCAAAAACCUGCUGGAUUUGCCAAUUGGAAGUACUGACCUACGACUUACCCGUUCCCGAUGCAUUCGGACAGGGGAUUCCGGAGUGAAGCUGCUCCACUCUGGGACAGGUGCCAAUUGCUCACAAAAGGCGAGUGAAAAUAUCAGUGAUCUGCACAAGGAAACGUCGGGGGUGAGUGGAAAAUGCAAACUCGCAUGCAUCCGUGCAACUAACGCAGAAAAAAGUGAAGGAUGGUUGCGAGGGGAGGGGAAGACACAGAAAAAGAGGAUCGUGAAAGAAGAGGUGGGGGCGUUUAUUCAAGCCUGUUUGAUGCUCCUCGGGCCUUCGAGAGCCGAUCGCAUGUGCCGUGGUAACUGCGGGACCAUUUGCAUGUGGCAGACACGCUAAUUGUGUGUUUGCUAACACGCACCAUUCAGCGAGACGCGCUCCGGUCCACAGACGGUGUUCACACACGCCUCCCAGACGCCCCGGAGGCCUCCUAUUGUUCCAGAGGCCCAGCCGAACAGCCGGAGAGCCUAACCAGAGCCCUAUGCUGGCCUGCCGAGAGGAGAAACUGGAAUUGGAGACCAGACGGGAUAACGGAACGGGACGGACUCGCAGCCCCUCUCUCUCUUUCUCUCCGCAGCAAGAAAAAAGAGGCCUGUGGGAAGCGCUGCCUCCGGACGCUGACGUCCUCGCAGAUGUGUGUAAGUCACAGCAGCGUGUGCAAAUCUGUGUGUAUGUGUGUGUGCAUGCUUUUUUCCCUUUUCGAUACACUGAUUGCUUACAUGAUGGAAGCAUUUAUAACAUACAUUUCGGAAGCACAGCGUACGGCGAUUAAAAUGCACUGAUUCAGAUAAAAUGCAAAGACACCGGCAAACUUCUUUUGUGCAUUUUCACAUUGUUUGCAAUUUGAAUUUACGAAGCGUCGCGGAAUUCAGUAUUAUUCCGAAAUGCCUGCAAAUGCAGUAAACUCUCCAAAAUAAAUUUCUGAUUACAAUUAUGUAUCUUAAGUUUGCUUAUGCUGAUCGUUUUCAACCAUGUUGAUAACUGAAACUUUUUUAUAUAGCGGCCUUGUUUUAUUAAAUAUAACAUGGUGAAAAAUGUAUUUUGCAGUAUUUAAAUUUGGGUCAAAAUGUUGUUAAAUCUUACUAAAUUAUAAUCGGUAGCAAUAAUCGGCUUUACUCUUUGUAUUUGGCCUCUGUUGAAUUACAAUCUUGGCAACAGAACUGGGUCUUUGAUCCAUUGUACUGAGCUAACUGUGAUUUUUAUUCAUUGCAAUCUUUUUCUUCUUUGAAUUUAAAUAUAUUUAUUUUAAUUGCCAUUGUAUACAGUGAUUUUUUUUUUUUUGUAUGUGUGCUUUUUGAUCAAAUAUAUUUUAAACCCUCUGUUAAGGUAAUGUGUUUGCACCAUGCAUUUUAAAAGCAACAAAAUUGUUAUAUAUUCCUGAUAAUUAUGAUUAACACAUUUAUGAUCAAUUUAAUGUAAAUUUCUUUUUUAAGUUUUUAAGACAAUAUGGCGUCCCUAAAUUUUAGAUAUAAUUCAUAUAUUUAUAUGUAUCGGGGUAUUUUAUAAAUUAAAGCUAAAUAUUGAAACACUAGAUUUUAUAAAUAUAUUCCCGAAAUAAUAUUACAGUGAAUUCUGAAACUAGAACAAUAUUUAUUUACUAUUGGUUAUUUCUGAUUUGUAGAAUUUGGGAUUGUGUUUUUUGUAAAGGUCGGUUGUUUCUAAUAAUUCUCAGGUAGUUUUUAGGACAGAGAGUUUGAUAUUGUGCUGUAACGCGUGUAAAUUUAUGCCUUCCAGCCAAAUACUCCUGCUAUAACUGUUAUUGUGGGUGUGGAAUUAUUCAAUUGGAGUCCCGGAUUGUGGCCUAGUGUGUGUGUGUGUGUGUGUGUGUGUGUGUGUGUGUGUGUGUGUGUGUGUGUGUGUGUGUGUGUGUGUGUGAUUUUACCUGCAGUUGUCAUUGAAUUUGCUGACUUUGGGAUUUCACUGUGGUUGGCAAAGAACUACCAAAGCAGGAACAGGGCACUUCAUCGAACGCGGAGACUUCUAACAUUUUAAUUGUGAAUUAUAUAUUAGCUCCACAUGCAUGCACACACACACACUUUUACAGAAGUUUUUCAAAAAUACAUAUAUCUCACAGCUUAAAAUGGAAUUUUGGGAUAGUUCUAAAUAUUUGCAUCUUGAUUGGUCAGGCAUGCAGUUAGAAGUACUUAAAAACACAUAUUUAUUAUGGCAAAAAUUUACUACACAGCUUUAAAUUGAAUUUUGGGAUAGUUCUAAAUAUUUUUGAACUCGAUUGGUCUCACACACACACACACACGGCCUGCAGUGAGAGGUUCUCAUUCCUCAGUAAUUUGGGCCUCAGUGUGUGUGAAGUCCACCAUUUUGGUUCAGUGUGUGAAUUGAGCUCUUUCGGUAUUUUAAGUCAAUAUAGAAAAAAUGGUUCUAUUAUAUUGACAAAAUUAAACCCCAGACAGCAGAUUAAUUGUUUUAGAGUUGCCACUAUAUUUUAAGACAGUAAUGUUCUGUCGAAAGUAGUUUAUUUACCAAAACACACACACACAAGUCCUGGUUUUAUUUCAUAAUUUAAUUAUUUUGUGCACAUUUGUUGAAAACUGAAACACUGGCUUAUAUCAGUGUAUGUACACACACUUUUACCUUUUACCUUUUAAGGUCCUCACUUAGAUAAAAGCGAUCCUUAAUUGAAAUCAGUGUUUUGUUUUUUAAUUUUGUGCAAAGUGCAAAAUGAUUCGGACAGGUUUUAGAGUUAGUCUAUUAAUUAUAAUUAGCUUUAUAUUAAAUCUGUAUAAUUUUAAUGGUAAAAUAUAUGUGUGUGUGUGUUUUGCAUUGUCGUCAGCAUGUGUGUGUGUGUGUGUGUACUCGCCUUUUAAUUUUUUUUAACUAAACUAGCAAACACACAAUAACCAGAAUUGCAGAUAUUAUAACACGUAUAACAUUUAGUGACACUUUUAGUGUGUGAUUGUGAAUUGUUGUCUAUUAACGUGUGUAUUGUCUAACCUACUGUAGACAUUUUAGUCCCAAAAUAACACUGCAGAAUGUUUAGUUUUUCACGGCUUUUAUGAUGCACUGCAGGACAUUUAUUGUGCUGCAUUUUAUGUUUGGUUAAAUCCAUUUAAGUUUUUUUAAACCUAUUAAAUUCGUAGUAAUUGUCUUUGUUUCUGAUGUUUUGCAUGUAAUGUGUUUGAGACAUUACCAGUGCAAUACAAAGACACGCAACAUUCAUUCCGUACAUUUUUAAAUACACUGCACAAAUGUUCGUGUAAUAUAACAAAUUAUAUAUUUAAUCAUAAUUUGUUUCUCUUCUCCAAAGUCCGAACUUUCAUUGAGUUCACCACAAUGUUAGGAUAAUUUGUGUUAGCUGACAGAUUUAUUGGGUCAUUUACUGCUAGAUAAUCCUUUGUAAAGUUUGUUGCAUGAUUGUUAGUGGCAAAACGGAUUUACACAUCUUUUCGUGUUUUUGCCAUUUUGUUUUACAGAAAAGUGAGACAAAAAAAAGUAAAAGGAUGAAAGAGUGUGUGUUCGUGUGCAUGUAUAGUCAUGAACAGUCAUUUACAUAAUUAAAAUACAAUUAUAGUCCCACAAUUUACAUGUUUAUCAUGCUCAUGUGCAAAACGGUAAAUAGAUAUUUGUAGAUUUUGCAGGAAAGUAAAAAAUAGGUGUCCGCUUCAACGAUCACAAAAUAUUACAUAUUAUAUUUAAAUGUAUAUUUUAAAAUGAAUUAUCUAAAAUAUGUUCUUUAAAAAAAAAAAAAAAAAAACACUCUGCACAGUACUUAGGUUCAUAAUAAAGAAAUAAAGCAUGUCAAAGAAAAUUUAUUUUAAUGCAUAAAAGAAUACAAAUCUUCACACAUCGCAACACAUUUUAACUUUUGAACUCUAAAAGCUUAGAUUUGUUUUGUUUUUUUGGAAAUUCUCAGUUAUUCUUUAAUAAUUAUAAAUGUGUCCAUACUGGAUUCAAUAGAUAAUAAUGCUAAUUUCUGUUUUUUUUUUUAUCUCUGUUUUAAGUUACAACACCUUGUAUUUUUUAUAUUUGUACUAGCUCGUUUUUAGUUUGUAAAUGAAAAUUAUGUGCUUUAAUGAGAAAUGCAUUCAAAAUUUGUUGCCAUUUUUCCAACUAAUGUCAUGUCUUUUUUUUUUUUUUUUGCAGAAUCACCAAAUAUAAAAUUUGUAGGACAUCUUUUUGAAUUGCAUAUUCACAUUUAACCUCCUCUGUUCAGUUUUUCAUAAUCAGCUGAUUUAAUAAUCACUAAUUACUACACCUUUUGUUGAUCUUUGAUAAAUAAUUCCUCACAGUCAUCAAUUAACCAUAUUGAUGAUUUACUUCAUUAAACAAAUAGCGAAAUGUUUAUGAACAGCAUGGAUUAAUUAAAAAAAAAAGUGUUAUUUCAGGAUCACAUGUAUAGAGUGAAAUACCACAAAUACAGCAGUAACUGUGUUUACAUAUAUAAGUAUUACAAUUAUAAUAAUAUAUGUUGUGUCUUUUUCUUCAGGCAAAAGUAGAGUUUGAAAUGGACUAACCAAGAUGCAGCCCUGCACAGGUCAGUACGGAUAUUAUUAUCUUUUAUAACUACUUUAAUAACAUGGGGAAAAAUAUUUAAUUUAGGAAAUGAAUGCCUGUGCAUUUAACAAUCUCAUGCGGUGGCUUUAUAUUUAUUGAUUAGAUGGUCUGUAUUCUAAACUAUAAGAUGAACUGAAAUGCAUUGAUUGUUUUUUCACAAUUAUUUUAUUUGUUUAAUGAAUCAGAAAUAUAUUUUUUUUUUAGAAAAGAGUAGUUUCACUACUGUUUUUAAACAGUAUAAUGAAUAUAAUACACAUUUGUAUGUUCUACCUUGGUGGAAAACACAUUUACUUUCUUAUGCACCUGAUAGUGUCGCCCUCUAGAGUCCAAAGCCAACUUGACAAUACCAUAAUCACAAAGCAGAUGUCAAAAUUCAUGUGUGAAUUGCCCAGUGCAGUUACCACCGUAGAUGCUAAACUUUAAUAGAAUCACUAAAUUGUCCAAAAGAGUAAAUAAAGCAAGACACUACAGGCAAAAACUUAUUUUUUUUUCAUGCACUGGUCAGUUCUGGGAUUUUGCUUUUCAUAAUGUGUUGACUUAAGGCAAAUUAUACUUUUUUAUUGCACUUAAACUAUUUGCAUUUGUAGAUUUCAAUUACAAUAUUUUAUAAUAUUUUAUAUUUAAUAUUUUAUAUAUUCAAUAACAAUUUUCUCAAAAUGAGUUUGUCUCUCCACUUCAGCAGCACUUACAUACACCAAAAUUUACAGUUUUAUUCCUGUCUAUAUUCUGAAGGAUUUCAUAGAAGGGUUUGUUCAUGUGUCAUUCACCUGAUUUUAUUAUUGAACUUUAUCUCUUUAUGUCUGUAGAUUUCAAUUACGCUGCAUAUCUUUAAAGGUCGUUUACUCAAAACGAGUUUGUUUCUCUACUUCAGCAGCACUCACAUACACCAAAUUUUAAAGUUUUAUUCCUCUCUAUAUUCUGAGGCUUUUUAUAGAAGGGUUUUUUUAUAUGUCAUUUAUACAUCAUUUUAUUCCUAACAGCAUAGUGAAAAUGACUUUAUUUUGGCUUUUGACAGUAUUUACUGAAUUACGAAGCAAUAAAAACAGAAAUCCAAAAUCCCAUCUGUAAAAACCUUUUACUCUAAUAUGUAAAUAGAAUGAAAUUAGAAUUUUGAAUCAGGCUUUGUCCAGUGUUCAUAUAUAUGUUCUGGAAAUAUAUGUAAAUGACUGCACAUUUUAUUAGAUAAUGCAUCAUUUGUUUUUGUUUUUAAAUAAUUUUUCAGAAAAUUGUGAUGCAAAAAAAAUGUCUGCAAUUCUUAAUGGAACUGGGGAAGUAUGGUAAUAUAUUUUGGUUCAUUUUUUUAACCCAGUUCAUCUGUGGUAUUUUGCAUUAACUCCUAGUGCAGCCGCUGUGGACAUAUUUCCAGAUUUAGUCUUGAUUGUGAAUGAUCCACAUGUCAUUUCGCCUACCCACAAGUCACGACAAAACUGUGGGUGCUAACAGAGCUCCUAUCUAGUUAAGAUGUUUUUAUGCUUUUAUUGAAGUUUUCAUUUUUUAAAUAAUGUAAUUUCAUCCUCCUGAGUGGAGGGUGAGAGACUUGUUCAAAGGCAGCUGGAUGUUUUAUCACUGACAGUAAAAUGUCUUCAAAUUUGUGGAAUAAUUUGUUUUUGGUUAAUAUUUGUCAAAAAUUGGUCAAGUGUGUUAAACUGUUGCCAUCAUCUUGUUUACAGCUGAUUAUUAUUUGUUAUGUUUACAGUAGCUGAUAAAUCAAGUGCAAGUCAUGUGAUCUGUGCCUAUAUUUCUGAGUUUGCUCUGAAACGCACAACUUUGGACAGAACAAAAAUGAGUUGGAGAUGAGCAUUGUAGGCUAUCACUCUUAAAAAUAAAGGUUCUUUAUUAGAUACUUCUCUAAAAAAAUAAAGUUUCCAAAAGGGGGUUUCAUAGGGAUGCAACAGAACCUUUCAGUGAACCAUCUUUUUUCUUAGUGUGAAGAACAUUGUAAUAAUCUGAAAAAACCUUUUUCUGCUAUACAGAACCAUAAAGGUUCCAUGGAUGUUAAUAGUUCUUCAUGGAACCAUCAGUGCCAAUCUAGAACCUUUAUUUUUAAGAGUGUAAAGAAUCUUUUGUGGAAUGGAAAGGUUCUAUUAAUGUUAAAGGUUCUUCAUGGAGCCAUAAAAGCCAAAAAUAAAGAUUCCAAAAAGAGGUUUUCGCAGUGAUGCCAUGGAAGAACCAUUUUUGGUUCCCCAAAGAACCCAUCAGUUAUCAGUUCUUAAAAUAACCUUUUUUUUCUUAGUUUGAAGAACAUUUUAAUAAUCUGACAAACCUUUUUCCAUUAUAAAGAAUCUUUUGUGGAAUAGAAAGAUUGGAAGUUAAAGGUUCCUCGUGGAACUGUAGAUGCCAAUAAGAACCUUUAUUUUUUAGAGUCAAAGAAGGUUGUUUAUAUGAUUUAAAAUGUUCUUAACACUAAAAAAAAGGCUUCUUUUAAGAAGUGUUCACAGAAUGAUUUUUUGGAGCCCAGAGUUAGUCUUCUAAGACGGUGCUGCGAAAACCCCCUUUUGGAGCCUUUUAAGAGAACAAGAAAGAAAUAACAGCAUUCCUUCUUAUUUAGCCGCUUAAUUGUCACCAACUGACUGCAUGUAAAUAAGCGCCUUCACAGCAUCCAUCUGUCCCUCUCAGAGUCCUGACCUUGGAUCUGAGCCACAAACUUAUUUUUUCAGCAUUGGCAAGGAUCUAUAGCAGCAUUGUGAUCUCUCUCACCACCUUUACCAGCUGAAAUCCCUCCUAGUUUGGCUAGUUAUAGCACUGUUGGGGAAUAUCUAUCUUAUUUAUCUCUGGAAAAUAACUCACACUGGGUGAAAUCUGCAUUGUUAAUUGUUUGUUAGUUCACAGUUUUGAUGUGCAUCUAGUAAAUUAUUUUUGUGUAUUUGUUAUUUUUAUGUUUCCAUCAUAGUAUAUGCACUUCUUGCAAGAUAAAAAUAGUCAUAAAAGUUUUGUUAAAAAAAUUCAUGAACAUAUUGAAAAUUAUUUUUUUGUAAUUACUGUUUUAUAUUUGAAUAUGGAUAUGAAAAUAGUUUUUCCCAGAAGCACUUGACUUAAUAUAAGAGCAAGAGCAGUAAAACAGGUUUGUUUGCUACUAGUAAGCAAUGCUAGUCUUACACAAAGGGCCAGGAAUGCUAAAAGUUGAGUUGAAAUAAUCAUUUGAGCAAAUUAUUCAGCCACAUCGAGUUAAACUUGCAUGACCUUUUUUGUGCAUUUAGUAAAUUAUUUGUUAAACCUGUUUCCAUCAAAAUAUAUGCACUUCUUGUUAGAUAACGACAUUAAAAAAAUAAAUUUUUAAUGAACAUUUUAAAAUUUCAUUUGGGGGAAGAAAAAAGGUGUUUCCAUUCAACAUUUUCUAUGCAAUAAAAAAUUAGAGGAAGGGCAUCUGGCUGUUAUUAUUGUUUUAUAAUUGAUUAUGGAUUAAAAAAUAUAUAAAUAUUUUUCCCGAAUCACUUGACUUACUCUUAGAGCAAAAAAGUAAAACUGGUUUGUUGGCUGCUAGUAAGCAAUGCUAGUUUUACGCAACAGGCCCAGGAUUGUCAUCGUACCAGUUACUGCUGUUCCCCUACUUGGUUUUGGCAAGAAACACCAUCCAUAUUGCUGUGUAAAAAUGAAUUCUGAUCUAUAUUGCAUAACUGUACCCAAUGCACACGGAUUUCCAUGCCACCUCCUGUAGGAGCGCAGCACAGAAAUCUCUCUGAGAGUUCCUUUCCCACCAACCUGUGUCUGCUUACAUUUCCACCGAGCAGAUGGCCACGCAGCAUGGCAUGGGAUCUCACACGGUGUGACGCACUCACAUAUGUAACGGGAAAACUUCACAAGCGGACCAGGAGAAAUUUGGGUUAUUUUUCUGAUUGAAAGUCUCUCUAAACUAGCUACCACAUCUUAAGGGUUUUUAGAUCAUGCUACGUUCCACAGCUACAAGUCAAAUCUAGAUUUGCUAUCAAAAAUAGUAACCUCAGUAAAAUUAAAAAUGCCAUAAUUGUGUAAAAUUUAUAUAUAUAUAUAUUAUUUAUCAUCUUACCCAUUAUUGCAUCCACAAUUGCACCCAAAAAUGAAGUUUUGCUGAAAUCUUCUCAUCCUCAUGCCAUCCAAGAUGCAGAUGAGUUUGUUUCUUCAUCAGAUUUGGAGAAAUCCAAUGGAGCAAAUCAGUGGAUCCUCUGCAGUGAAUGGGUGCCGUCAGAAUGAGAGUCCAAACAGCUGAUAGAAACACCACAAUAAUCCACAAGUAAACCACUCCAGUCCAUCAAUUAAUGACUUGGAAAAGCCAAAAGCUACAUGUUUGUAAAAAACAAAUCCAUCAUUGAGACAUUUUUAACUUCAAACCUUUGCUUCUGGUUAAAAUACGAGUCCUCUGUCCAUGAUAUUGCUUUCUCAAAUGAAAAAUUUUUCUUGUCUGAAUCAGGAGAGAAAUCUGUACAUAUCAAGCACCAAUUACAAGCCAAAGCAGCUCUAAUCAAAUAUGUGGGUGGAUUUUGAUGUGAGAUGACAACAGAUGAUGGACUUUUUGACUGGAGAAGGACUCAUAUUUUGACCAGUUUGAAGUUAAAAUGCCUUGAUGAUGGAUAUGUUUCUCACAAACACACAACUCCUCUCUUCUCAAGAUGUUAAACUGAUGGACUGGAGUGGUGUGGAUUAUUGUGAUGUUUUUAUCAGGUGUUUGGACUCUCAUUCUAACGGCACCCAUUCAUUUCCAUUGGUGAGCAAGUGAUGUAAUGCUACAUUUCUCCAAAUCUGAUGAAGAAACAAACUCAUCCUAAUCAAAUAAAAUCGAAAAAAGUAAAUAAUAAAUACAAUUUAAAUUGAUGGACAAGAUAUUGUUAUUGUUGUUUCAAAAUGUGACUAUGGGUAAAUUAAAAAAAAAAAGUAUGUAAUUUUACAUUGAAAUACAUUUUAAUGCACUUUUUUUAUUUUGAUUAAAUGAUUACUCAUUACUGAUUACUUAUUUUAUAAUAAAUUAUUUAGAUGAUAGAUAGAUAGAUAGAUAGAUAGAUAGAUAGAUAGAUAGAUAGAUAGAUAGAUAGAUUAUGAUUGUUUUAUAUUUGCCUCUGGAUUCUAAAAUGCAUUAAUGCAUAACAAAUGCAAUUAAGAUUUCCAAUAAAAACUCAAAAAGUUUCAAACUUAUAUCUCACACAAAGCUAUUGUAUAUUAUAAAGAGCGAUGCAUUAACUAUUUCACUGGGGGGUUUUUUAGGAACUUGACAAACAUGGUCACUAUGAAUCAUCAUUACAUGGAAAGAACAGAAAGAAGAAAUUCUCCUGAAGUGUUUGACGCAUAUGCGGAUGCAGACAGACAGAGAUGAAGACAGAACAAGAGUUUGAAACGCUUCUCUUCAUGAAUAGUUUGCUUGUUUCCUGGGACAGAUGAAGUCUCUGGGAUGGACAACAUUCAUCAACAAAUCAUUAAAACUGAAUUACAUGAUGUGCAUAUUUGGAUCGAAUGAUUAAUUGAUUUCUUGAUUUUGAUUUGAGGAUAUUAAAUGAUUUCCCAGAAGAUCUUUUUGUUAAGAAACGUUUCAGAUCACUGUGAUUGAUUUUUCCCUACUGCUUCCGCUGCAGUUUUUUCGAGGAAAGUUUUCGCAGAUGUGCGCUUCAGAAGUGCUUUGCAGAAAUAUGAGAUCAUUUUGUCAUUCGCAUUAUGCAAGUUGGGAGAAUAUUUCAGCAUCUGGAGGUCUCAGCAGUCAUCUGUAGUGCGAUCUUUGGCAUGAAGGUGAUUGUUUUGCAGGACUGUGGUCUCGGGACGCUCCUGAUGUUCGUACAGGGUGAGGUAGUAGGUUGUGUGGUUUCAGGGUAGUGAUUUUGCCCCAUCAGGAGAUAACUAUACAACCUACUGCCUUCCCUGGAGGGCAGCGACACAGCAGCAGUCUUCCAGCAGGAGGCGCCGCUUCUCACACCUUCAACACUGACAGGUACAGUACAUCAACUACACACACAUACUACCAGCACACUUUACAUUUAACAGCCCUUUUCCACUAUCAGCUACCUUUUGUGGACUGGAAAUAUGGAGCAAUAAUAAAAGAAGCUUUAUUUGUUAUCCAUCAAACUUGUCUGUUUUUAUUUUAGGAUUACAGGUCAUUAAUAAUAUGAUUACUUGAACU
Molecule: long non-coding RNA, 14772 nt
Organism: Cyprinus carpio carpio
Lineage: Eukaryota; Metazoa; Chordata; Actinopteri; Cypriniformes; Cyprinidae
Source: Ensembl